Molecule: long non-coding RNA, 2647 nt
Filed under: Canis lupus familiaris (dog)
Lineage: Eukaryota; Metazoa; Chordata; Mammalia; Carnivora; Canidae
Description: lncRNA (ENSCAFG00000053000.1)
Source: RNAcentral
AUGAUUCCCUAACCUUUCACUCAAGCCUGUCCUGUCUGCACGGUCUAUUUUUUUUUUUUUUUUUUACCCAAAUGCCACUUAGUCACAUUUUAUUCAUUACAUUCUCUUUUUUUUUUAAAGAUUUUAUUUAUUCAUUCAUAAGAGAAUGAGCUGAUGGCAACAAGAAAAGGGUGGAGCGAGCUGCUGCCUCUGCAGGCCCUCCAAGCCCAGGUAACGAACCCCCAAAACCCACAGGGAGCAAUCCCAAGACAGAGGCCUGGGAGAGCAGGGGUUUGCAAAGCUUUGCCUGGGAGUUCUGAAUCUAAACGUCUGUCCCCGAGGCCCAGGUUGAGAGAAGCAGUGAAGGAUGACGCCAAAUUCCAACGUGUAAAACAUGAUCAUGUUUUACGAAGCACUUUUAAUUUUUUUUAAUUUUUUUAUUAUUCAUGAGAGACCCAGGCAGAGGGAGAAGCAGGCUCACUGCAGGGAGCCCAAUGCGGGACUCAAUCCCGGGACCCCAGGAUCAUGCCCUGAGACGAAGGCAGACGCUCAAGCACUGAGGCACCAGGCGUCCCUACGGAGCACUCUUAGAACGUCUGCCGAGGGCCCUCCGGGCGCCCUCACUGUGCCUCUGCCCAGCCUUUGCUUCAUCUCCUUGUCACAACCUGAGAAGUGGGUAUCAGGGUCAUUGAUGCUCCGGGCGCAGACACGAAAGCCAGUGCUCAGGAUCUCAACGACAGUACGUGGCCGGGCCAGGACGAGAACGCGGGUCGUCCAGGAGCCCGCGGCCCCCCGGAGCCCCCCGGAGCCCCCCGGAGCCCCCCGGCGGGGCACAUCCAGCACGUGCCUCCCCGUCCAGCGGAGCUCCAGGAGCCAGAGCGCGUCGUCCAAAAAAGUUGGAUAUAAGAAGUGGUCCCGCACCUGAACAUGUACAAACCCGACAAAGAUGCCCAGAACCAGGAGCAGCAUAAGCUGUCGGGACUCGAGGAUGGGAAAACGAGAGCUUUCCUCCGGGAGGCUUUUCCAGAAGAGAGAGGCGAGGAAAGCAGGUUUGAGAAGGGGGAAGGCAAAGGGUAAGGUGCUCUCCCGAUCUACCCUAAGGGUCAGGAAAUUCUCCUAACAUCUAGUCUCCCCUCUAAGCUCCCAGAUGCAUGCUGCACCCUGCAGGUCCCCAAAGGGGAGAACCGGGGCCCCCUCCUCCGUGAACCACUGAGUCCUGACAGUGGCAAGGACAGGAACCCACAGGCAGGUGCGGGGAGAGAACAAGGGUAGCAGAGCCGGGGACAGCAGCAUGCUGAGGGCGGGCGGGGCCGGGGGGCCGACGGCACACUGUGCACCUGCCCUCGGAGACCGGCUAUUCCAGGGAAGACCACGGUGACGCACAACAGAGCGUGACCCGAAUGUCAGAGCAGAGCCACCUAAGGGGUCAUCUUGGUCGACACCCUUCCUCAGCAACCCGAGAAACUGGGUGCGGAUUGUGGGGGGGGAAGCAAGGGUAGGACUAGAACCCCUAAGCCUGGACACAUUUCGCCCCGCAUCACAACGAGCCACGAGACUAGGAUAGAGGCCCAUGGAAGAGGACCCCAAAUCCCCACCCGCCCACCCGCCUCCCCCAUCCCAGCAAGCUCAUGAGGGCUGUCACCCACCCAUAACGUUUACGGGGCGCGUCUCAGCUAGGUGCUUCAGCUACGAGGAAUAAUCCCCUCCACCCAAGAAGGGAGCGCAUCUGCGGCCCUCCAGGGAAGGAGCCGGCUCUGUGACCCGCCCCCCUCACCUGCGUUCUGGAAGUUCUCAGGCCUCACCUCACUCCUUCCUGCUGCAACAUCGGGCCCAGUUUCUCGAGGCCUCGGAAGGCACCUGCUCGCUGACCUGGCCUGGAAAGGGGGGAGGCCGCCUGCGCUCCCCACGGCCCUCUCCUGGCCCCCGACUUGGCCCAUCCAUGAUCUCCACGGUGGCAUGAGAGCCCAGGGAGCUGUGCCAGCAGGAGCUUGUGGGCAGGGAGGGGGCAGAGAGAGCAGAAGACCAGCAGGAAGAUGUUGGGGGAAGAUGUGGACAGUGGACGGGGAAGGACACGCAGAUCCCACCUACGGUCUCGCUUUUUUAAAGUCUAGGCUGAUGAUUUCUAGAUGCAGAGGAAGACGAUUCUAAGGCUUGCGGCACUUCCUUUUCUUUAUUCAAAUAAUACAAAUUCAUUGUUGAAAAAUUUAACACAAUAUAGGGAAUAAAAUAAAAUUAGGAACAGUAUAACUCUUUCCAAAAACGACAACCUGGAAUAGUCACUAUCAACAGUUUGGUGCAUGACCUUCCAGACUUUUCUGCGUGUAAAUAUCUUUUCGUUAUUCAUUCAACUGAUGUUUAUUGGAUGCUUUCUCUGGGCCAGGUAUGGUCCUAGCACCAGGGAUAAAGUAGCCGAUGAAACAGAUAAAUAGGGUAGCCCGGGUGGCUCAGCGGUUUAGCGCCGCCUUUGGCCCAGGGUGUGAUCCUGGAGACCCGGGAUCGAGUCCCACGUCUGCCUGUGUCUCUGCCUCUCCCUCUCUCUGUGUCUCUCGUGACUAAAUAAAUAAAAUCUUUAAAAAAAAAAAAAAAGAAAGAAAGAAACAGAUAAAUAUCCAAGCCCUUAUGGAACGUGCGUCUUAUAACGAUGCACCCACGUGUAACGCGCAUGUUC